CCCCUAGAUGUUCUGGGCCGCACGCGCGCUACACUGAACAGUUCAACAAGUCUUAACCUUGGCCGAUAGGUCUGGGUAAUCUUUGAACGCUGUUCGUGAUUGGGAUAGACCUUUGCAAUUAUGGGUCUUCAACGAGGAAUUCCUAGUAAACGCAAGUCAUCAGCUUGCAUUGAUUACGUCCCUGCCCUUUGUACACACCGCCCGUCGCACCUACCGAUUGAAUGGUCCGGUGAAAUCUCGGGACGGCGGCUUGGUCGCUUGCGUCCGACUGCCGAAACUUGAUUAAACCAUAUCAUUUAGAGGAAGGUGAANUCGUAACA
This 320-nucleotide ribosomal RNA is filed under the name uncultured eukaryote. Its description in RNAcentral is "partial 18S ribosomal RNA". It matches the Rfam family "Eukaryotic small subunit ribosomal RNA", at positions 1470 to 1796 of the family's 1831-position model. The record is from RNAcentral.